Molecule: long non-coding RNA, 963 nt
Filed under: Homo sapiens (human)
Lineage: Eukaryota; Metazoa; Chordata; Mammalia; Primates; Hominidae
Description: non-protein coding lnc-NAIF1-3:1
Source: RNAcentral
CUCAACUCCGCCAAGCUGAUACAGGAGCAGCGGGUCACCAACCUGCAUGUGAAGGAGAUCGCACAGCACCUGGAACAGCAGAACGACCUACUGCAGAUGAUCCGCCGCUCCCAGGAAGUGCAGGCCUGUGCCCAGGAGCGCCAGGCCCAGGCCAUGGAGGGCACACAGGCUGCCCUGAGCGUCCUCAUCCAGGUCCUCCGGCCUAUGAUCAAAGAUUUCCGCCGCUACCUGCAGAGCAACACAGCUAACCCGGCCCCCGCCUCUGACCCUGGGCAGGUGGCCCAGAAUGGGCAGCCAGACAGCAUCAUCCAGUGAGGGCAGGGGUCAGGCCAGCCUUCUGCCAUGAUGGGAUGAAAACUCCAUGGACUUACUCACCAUCAAUUACCAAGGCCCUUGCAUCUCCCCAGAUCGUUUCCCAAGUUUGGCGAUUUGCUGUCGGUGCCUCAGCCACAUAUGACCAAUGGUUACAACUCAGGGCUCCAGACCUCAGCUAAAAAGAGAAGACGCUGCCCUCCUGGGCACGAACGUUUAGAAUGCUCAACUCCUCUAUUGUGACCACAGGAAGGUGGCCCUGAAGAUGCACCGAAGACAGCUGGGAGGUGACUGCUGUACUGUCAGCCUCUCUGUGGAGGCAUUCGUGCAGUGCCAGCUAAAAGGGAGGUGAAGGGGGAUAUCGGACCCAGCGAGGGAGUUGCUGGUAGAAGGAAAGCUCUUCUCAGUGUGGCUGGAUUAAGAGCAGCCUAGCAGCUUGGGCACCUCCACUCUGUGCGGUCUGAUGGCCCCAGCAAGGUCGCUGCAGGGACUUCCUGAGGACUUGGUUUGGUUUUUUUCUGGGGUUGGAAAUCUGAGCCAAUAUUGUGUCUGUUCCAUUUGGGUAUGAAGAGGAAGUCUGGAUCACUUAAACUGACUAGUUAUUUCCGGGUCAUAAUUUUAAAUUAAAGACAUAUCACUUUUUUAUACACA